UGACCUCAAAUCAGGUAGGACUACCCGCUGAACUUAAGCAUAUCAAUAAGCGGAGGAAAAGAAACUAACAAGGAUUCCCCUAGUAACUGCGAGUGAAGCGGGAAAAGCUCAAAUUUAAAAUCUGGCAGUGUUGGCUGUCCGAGUUGUAAUCUAGAGAAGUGUUAUCCGCGUUGGACCGUGUCUAAGUCUCCUGGAAUGGAGCAUCAUAGAGGGUGAGAAUCCCGUCCUUGAACACGGACUGCCAGGGCUUUGUGAUGCGCUCUCAAAGAGUCGAGUUGUUUGGGAAUGCAGCUCAAAAUGGGUGGUAAAUUCCAUCUAAAGCUAAAUAUUGGCGAGAGACCGAUAGCGAACAAGUACCGUGAGGGAAAGAUGAAAAGAACUUUGGAAAGAGAGUUAAACAGUACGUGAAAUUGCUGAAAGGGAAACGCUUGAAGUCAGUCGCGUUGGCCAGGGAUCAACCUUGCUUUUGCUUGGUGUACUUUCUGGUUGACGGGUCAGCAUCAAUUUUGACCAUUGGAAAAAGGUCAAGGGAAUGUGGCAUCUUCGGAUGUGUUAUAGCCCUUGGCUGCAUACAGUGGUUGGGAUUGAGGAACUCAGCACGCCGCAAGGCCGGGUUUUAACCACGUACGUGCUUAGGAU
This 639-nucleotide ribosomal RNA is filed under the name Thaxterogaster leucophanes. Its description in RNAcentral is "eukaryotic LSU rRNA". It matches the Rfam family "Eukaryotic large subunit ribosomal RNA", at positions 1 to 624 of the family's 3401-position model. Lineage: Eukaryota; Fungi; Basidiomycota; Agaricomycetes; Agaricales; Cortinariaceae. The record is from RNAcentral.